GCUUCUUGUGUUAAAUGAUGUUUGAUUCCUUUGUGUAUUUCUGCCUGGUUUGGGGUUGUUUUUUUUAUUUGAAAUGACGGAUUACUUGUUUAUUCCAGUCCAGCAGGCUGUUAUUUAGGCUCUGUUCACAUUUUUUUUCUUUAUUUUUGCUCUUAAUAAUGUUUUAGAUAAUGAUUAAUGUUUUUUUGUUGAUCUGUGUUCAGGUUGAGUCCUUGCACCUGACCAAAUGAAUUAGCCAAGUGAACUUAGCAGGCAACAACCUAAGAUGGCAGCUUAUCUUCACCCAGCUCCAUAGGUGAGCGCUUCGCUGAGUGAUGCACAGCCAGUUAAACAGCUCUUCAUGUGCUUCCCAUCAGAACUUGUUCCCAGACUCCUCAUGAUGAGCUCCCCUCUUCAGUGCCCUGCCAACAGCUCAAACCACUGAGUUUACCCCCAAGCGGAGGAGGGAUUCUACUGCUUUCUGGAAUCCAGUGGUCCUGGUGGACUUGGACCAUUCUGAGGUUGUUCCUGAACUGAUGUACCCUGAUGUCCCAGAGCCAACCACUCUCCCAGUUAUGUCACACAGGCUGUCACAGAGUCCCCUGUUAAGCCAUUAAGGUCCCAGAGCUCUUCCAGUUACAGACAAGGUGGUUAUUCUGGAGUCAACCACUUGCCAUGCCCAUAGAGUCCCUGCCAUAGAGUCCCUGCCAUAGAGUCCCUGCCAUAGAGUCCCUGCCAUAGAG
RNAcentral lists this long non-coding RNA (722 nucleotides) under Danio rerio (zebrafish). RNAcentral's name for it is "lncRNA si:dkey-66d18.2 (ENSDARG00000097427.2)". The record is from RNAcentral. Lineage: Eukaryota; Metazoa; Chordata; Actinopteri; Cypriniformes; Danionidae.